Acanthosepion pharaonis is the source of this 109-nucleotide non-coding RNA. Lineage: Eukaryota; Metazoa; Mollusca; Cephalopoda; Sepiida; Sepiidae. The record is from the annotation of a GenBank genome assembly.
ACAGCCACAUCAAGUUGAAACUCCAGUUCCUGUAUGAUCACUGAAGUUAAGCAAUGUCAAACAUGGUCAGUACCUAGAUGAGUGACCACUUGGGAAUACCAAGUGCCAU